Molecule: transfer RNA, 64 nt
Filed under: Livilla caprifuga
Lineage: Eukaryota; Metazoa; Arthropoda; Insecta; Hemiptera; Psyllidae
Description: tRNA-Leu
Source: RNAcentral
CUAAUGUGUCAGAAGCAAAUGUAUUAAAUUUAAGAUUUAAUUAUGAAACCUUAUUCCUUUAGUA